UGGGGAAUCUUGGACAAUGGGCGCAAGCCUGAUCCAGCCAUGCCGCGUGAGUGAAGAAGGCCUUCGGGUUGUAAAGCUCUUUUACCAGGGACGAUAAUGACGGUACCUGGAGAAUAAGCCCCGGCAAACUUCGUGCCAGCAGCCGCGGUAAUACGAAGGGGGCUAGCGUUGUUCGGAAUUACUGGGCGUAAAGCGCACGUAGGCGGAUUGUUAAGUCAGAGGUGAAAUCCCGGAGCUCAACUUCGGAACUGCCUUUGAUACUGGCAAUCUCGAGUCCGGAAGAGGUUAGUGGAAUUCCCCAGUGUAGAGGUGAAAUUCGUAGAUAUUGGGAAGAACACCAGUGGCGAAGGCGGCUAACUGGUCCGGUACUGACGCUGAGGUGCGAAGCGUGGGGAGCAAACAGGAUUAGAUACCCGUGUAGUCCCUGAGCGGGCUGGCAAGGCGCAU
This 447-nucleotide ribosomal RNA is filed under the name uncultured bacterium. Its description in RNAcentral is "bacterial SSU rRNA". It matches the Rfam family "Bacterial small subunit ribosomal RNA", at positions 355 to 825 of the family's 1533-position model. The record is from RNAcentral.